RNAcentral lists this long non-coding RNA (918 nucleotides) under Rhinopithecus bieti (black snub-nosed monkey). RNAcentral describes it as "lncRNA (ENSRBIG00000046692.1)". Lineage: Eukaryota; Metazoa; Chordata; Mammalia; Primates; Cercopithecidae. The record is from RNAcentral.
AUUAAAUAGUCCUUAUUUGAAGAUAAUUUUUAUUCUAAGCUCCAAACCAAUGGCAAUUGGCAGGAACUUGCUAAGCUCACAUGGGACAUUUGAGCUUUAGUGAAGAAUGACUGCAGUUUGCUUUCUGAGUAGAAUACGGAAAACAAUAAGCUACAAAUAGAUGUAACUCGCAUUUCCCAAGGGAGAGCAUUCGCUGAAGUGUAAAACGGAGAAAAUAAAAAUAACUUCAAAGAAAGCUGGAAGCAAGGAAGCCAGGAGAUUAGCAGGGAUAAAAUGAACAAUUGGGAGAAUGCCUACAAUAUCACAACUCUCAUAUCACAUCAAUUUUCCUCAGAUUCAUCUAACUCAGUGAUUCCGUCUCAUAAUGCCCGUGAACUCUGGAGGGGUUCUUAUUAUAUUUGAUGCUAUGGUGCUACAGAACAUCGGAAAAAGAAAAGAAGAAGGAGAAGGAGAAGGAGAAGAAGAAAGCGAAUGAUAGUUGCACUGAUAAAAGAAUGCUAAAAGAACAGUGAAUCCUUUCUGUUGUUGAGCCCACUUCAGAAAUGAACUAUGAUUAUCCAGGCUAUGAUUUUCUUAAGGUCGAGUGGAAUCAAGACAUAGAAUAAAACUAAAAUAAACCACUGGCAGCAGCCACUGAAAUUUCCAGUUCUCAAAACAGCUUUCUAUAACCAGAGUAGGAUUUUUGCUUAGAUUUUCAAUUCUGUCUAGCCUCCCCAGGUAGACAGAGGCUAAGGGGUUGGGCAAUUGAGAUAACUGAAAGGAAAACAUUUUACAAGAAGUAAAGCUAGUAACUAGCAUGUAAGGUUUUUUUUUUAAAUUUGAUAAUCCAACUAUUUUAAAUUAAACCUAAUAUACAGAGAUGUGUAAAAUGUGACUCACUACUGAUAUUCUUACUAUUUUUUUGUUUAGAGAACACAG